ACUCUUCACUCUCUUUGAGUUUCAAACACAAUGGAAGCUGUCACUAUUGCUUCCCAUUUCUCGCCGGCUACCGGAAUACGGCUAUCAUCUACGGCGAGUUGCCGUGCCUCAGCUCCCAAACGGACUCUCAGAUUUUCUCCUUCUACGAAAUCUUCUCUAUCGACGACCUUCAUCUCCCCAUUCAUCGGCAGCAGUCUAUUCUCGGACUUAUCGGGUCAGAGAAUUCGACCCGAUUCUCUUUACCCUUCUUCCUCAACUGGCUUUAUCCCCAAACGUGCCGUUGUCACUAUGGUUAUUCCUUUCGGAGGGGACCCAUCGCAGGAUCAUCCUCCAGAUUUAGCAUCUUACUUGUUUAAGAA
This 359-nucleotide unclassified non-coding RNA is filed under the name Hevea brasiliensis (rubber tree). The record is from RNAcentral. Lineage: Eukaryota; Viridiplantae; Streptophyta; Magnoliopsida; Malpighiales; Euphorbiaceae.